CCUACGGGAGACUGCAGUGAGGAAUAUUGGUCAAUGGGCGGGAGCCUGAACCAGCCAAGUCGCGUGAGGGAAGACGGUCCUAUGGAUUGUAAACCUCUUUAGGCGGGGAGCAAUGCCGGGCACGCGUGCCCGGAGGGAGAGUACCCGCAGAAUAAGCAUCGGCUAACUCCGUGCCAGCAGCCGCGGUAAUACGGAGGAUGCGAGCGUUAUCCGUAUGUAUUGGGUUUAAAGGGUGCGUAGGCGGAUUUUUAAGUCAGCGGUAAAAUGUCCGGGCUCAACCCGGGCCGGCCGUUGAAACUGGGGAUCUUGAGUGGGCGAGAGGUAUGCGGAAUGCGUGGUGUAGCGGUGAAAUGCAUAGAUAUCACGCAGAACUCCGAUUGCGAAGGCAGCAUACCGGCGCCCGACUGACGCUGAGGCACGAAAGCGUGGGGAUCGAACAGGAUUAGAUACCCCAGUAGUC
Molecule: ribosomal RNA, 460 nt
Filed under: uncultured bacterium
Lineage: Bacteria
Description: partial 16S ribosomal RNA
Rfam family: Bacterial small subunit ribosomal RNA
Source: RNAcentral